CGGGACACGUGGUAUCCUGUCUGAAUAUGGGGGGACCAUCCUCCAAGGCUAAAUACUCCUGACUGACCGAUAGUGAACCAGUACCGUGAGGGAAAGGCGAAAAGAACCCCGGCGAGGGGAGUGAAAAAGAACCUGAAACCGUGUACGUACAAGCAGUGGGAGCACAGAGCAAUCUGUGUGACUGCGUACCUUUUGUAUAAUGGGUCAGCGACUUAUAUUCUGUAGCAAGGUUAACCGAAUAGGGGAGCCGAAGGGAAACCGAGUCUUAACCGGGCGUUAAGUUGCAGGGUAUAGACCCGAAACCCGGUGAUCUAGCCAUGGGCAGGUUGAAGGUUGGGUAACACUAACUGGAGGACCGAACCGACUAAUGUUGAAAAAUUAGCGGAUGACUUGUGGCUGGGGGUGAAAGGCCAAUCAAACCGGGAGAUAGCUGGUUCUCCCCGAAAGCUAUUUAGGUAGCGCCUCGUGAAUUCAUCUCCGGGGGUAGAGCACUGUUUCGGCAAGGGGGUCAUCCCGACUUACCAACCCGAUGCAAACUGCGAAUACCGGAGAAUGUUAUCACGGGAGACACACGGCGGGUGCUAACGUCCGUCGUGAAGAGGGAAACAACCCAGACCGCCAGCUAAGGUCCCAAAGUCAUGGUUAAGUGGGAAACGAUGUGGGAAGGCCCAGACAGCCAGGAUGUUGGCUUAGAAGCAGCCAUCAUUUAAAGAAAGCGUAAUAGCUCACUGGUCGAGUCGGCCUGCGCGGAAGAUGUAACGGGGCUAAACCAUGCACCGAAGCUGCGGCAGCGACACUGUGUGUUGUUGGGUAGGGGAGCGUUCUGUAAGCCUGUGAAGGUGUGCUGUGAGGCAUGCUGGAGGUAUCAGAAGUGCGAAUGCUGACAUAAGUAACGAUAAAGCGGGUGAAAAGCCCGCUCGCCGGAAGACCAAGGGUUCCUGUCCAACGUUAAUCGGGGCAGGGUGAGUCGACCCCUAAGGCGAGGCCGAAAGGCGUAGUCGAUGGGAAACAGGUUAAUAUUCCUGUACUUGGUGUUACUGCGAAGGGGGGACGGAGAAGGCUAUGUUGGCCGGGCGACGGUUGUCCCGGUUUAAGCGUGUAGGCUGGUUUUCCAGGCAAAUCCGGAAAAUCAAGGCUGAGGCGUGAUGACGAGGCACUACGGUGCUGAAGCAACAAAUGCCCUGCUUCCAGGAAAAGCCUCUAAGCAUCAGGUAACAUCAAAUCGUACCCCAAACCGACACAGGUGGUCAGGUAGAGAAUACCAAGGCGCUUGAGAGAACUCGGGUGAAGGAACUAGGCAAAAUGGUGCCGUAACUUCGGGAGAAGGCACGCUGAUAUGUAGGUGAAGUCCCUCGCGGAUGGAGCUGAAAUCAGUCGAAGAUACCAGCUGGCUGCAACUGUUUAUUAAAAACACAGCACUGUGCAAACACGAAAGUGGACGUAUACGGUGUGACGCCUGCCCGGUGCCGGAAGGUUAAUUGAUGGGGUCAGCGCAAGCGAAGCUCUUGAUCGAAGCCCCGGUAAACGGCGGCCGUAACUAUAACGGUCCUAAGGUAGCGAAAUUCCUUGUCGGGUAAGUUCCGACCUGCACGAAUGGCGUAAUGAUGGCCAGGCUGUCUCCACCCGAGACUCAGUGAAAUUGAACUCGCUGUGAAGAUGCAGUGUACCCGCGGCAAGACGGAAAGACCCCGUGAACCUUUACUAUAGCUUGACACUGAACAUUGAGCCUUGAUGUGUAGGAUAGGUGGGAGGCUUUGAAGUGUGGACGCCAGUCUGCAUGGAGCCGACCUUGAAAUACCACCCUUUAAUGUUUGAUGUUCUAACGUGGACCCGUGAUCCGGGUUGCGGACAGUGUCUGGUGGGUAGUUUGACUGGGGCGGUCUCCUCCUAAAGAGUAACGGAGGAGCACGAAGGUUGGCUAAUCCUGGUCGGACAUCAGGAGGUUAGUGCAAUGGCAUAAGCCAGCUUGACUGCGAGCGUGACGGCGCGAGCAGGUGCGAAAGCAGGUCAUAGUGAUCCGGUGGUUCUGAAUGGAAGGGCCAUCGCUCAACGGAUAAAAGGUACUCCGGGGAUAACAGGCUGAUACCGCCCAAGAGUUCAUAUCGACGGCGGUGUUUGGCACCUCGAUGUCGGCUCAUCACAUCCUGGGGCUGAAGUAGGUCCCAAGGGUAUGGCUGUUCGCCAUUUAAAGUGGUACGCGAGCUGGGUUUAGAACGUCGUGAGACAGUUCGGUCCCUAUCUGCCGUGGGCGCUGGAGAACUGAGGGGGGCUGCUCCUAGUACGAGAGGACCGGAGUGGACGCAUCACUGGUGUUCGGGUUGUCAUGCCAAUGGCACUGCCCGGUAGCUAAAUGCGGAAGAGAUAAGUGCUGAAAGCAUCUAAGCACGAAACUUGCCCCGAGAUGAGUUCUCCCUGACCCUUUAAGGGUCCUGAAGGAACGUUGAAGACGACGACGUUGAUAGGCCGGGUGUGUAAGCGCAGCGAUGCGUUGAGCUAACCGGUACUAAUGAACCGUGAGGCUU
RNAcentral lists this ribosomal RNA (2522 nucleotides) under Escherichia coli. RNAcentral's name for it is "partial 23S ribosomal RNA". It matches the Rfam family "Bacterial large subunit ribosomal RNA", at positions 418 to 2925 of the family's 2925-position model. The record is from RNAcentral. Lineage: Bacteria; Pseudomonadati; Pseudomonadota; Gammaproteobacteria; Enterobacterales; Enterobacteriaceae.